CCUACGGGCGGCAGCAGUGGGGAAUAUUGCGCAAUGGGCGAAAGCCUGACGCAGCGACGCCGCGUGAGGGAUGAAGGUCUUCGGAUCGUAAACCUCUGUCAGCAGGGAAGAACGGUCACUGUGCUAAUCAGCAGUGAAUUGACGGGACCAGCAAAGGAAGCACCGGCUAACUCCAGGCCAGCAGCCGCGGUAAUACGGAGGGUGCGAGCGUUAAUCGGAAUUACUGGGCGGAAAGCGCUCGUAGGCGGUAUGUCAAGUCACGGGUGAAAUCCCCGGUCCAAACGUGGGGAGUGCCUUUGAAGCUGGCAGACUGGAGUGUGUGAGAGGUAAGUGGAAUUCCAGGUGUAGGAGUGAAAUGCGUAGAUAUCUGGAGGAACAUCAGUGGCGAAGGCAACUAUCUGGCACCUAUCUGACGCUGAGGAGCGAAAGCGUGGGUAGCGAACAGGAUUAGAUACCCCUGUAGUC
Molecule: ribosomal RNA, 465 nt
Filed under: uncultured bacterium
Lineage: Bacteria
Description: partial 16S ribosomal RNA
Rfam family: Bacterial small subunit ribosomal RNA
Source: RNAcentral